AAGGAGGAAGGGGCCCAGACUGGGGGGUUAACGAGGAAGGGGGUCAGAGGAGGGAAGAUGGGAGGAAGAUGGGAGGAAGAUGGAGCACCUGGACAGAAACCGAUGCUGCAGCCCAGAUGCAAUCCCAGGACCUCUUCGCCAGCCUGCUGCCUCCUGCCCUGUUAUUGAAGCAAGACGCGUCUGUCAUCCUAGACCGUAGAUCCGUCCCUUGAGGGCCCGCCCUCCAGUGGACGGCCGCAGGAUUGUCAGUGUCAUUCUGAGUGGUGAUGUCAUUUCCUGUCCCCCUCCCAGCGGACGGCGGCGCCCGCGGCCUGUCCUGGCGGUGCCAGCUGUGCCACAUCGCCUUCAGCGACAGGAAGACCAGAGAGCGGCACAUGAGCGCCAAGCACCCCCUCCUGCAGCCGCCCCCGCCCCGUCUCCCCGGCGACACUGCGCCCCGCCAUCGGCCCCCGAACACGGACCCCCACUAACAGCCAGAGGGGCGGGGGGUGGGGGAGUGUGUGUGUUUAUUUAUUUUAUUCGUUUUAUCGAUUUACAGCCCGACAUUCCCUCCCCCUUCCCUCCCCUCGCUGGAGGUGACCGGUGGUGUGGCGGAGCUGUCGGCAGCCGCUGGCUCUGGGGGCGGGACCGGACCCCCGGAGCACUGCGAUCCGACUGAGCCUUCACCCACCCCCUGCCACCGGACACCCCCCUCGUGCCCCUUUGCCCAGAUCCGGGAUCCUGUCAGCUUUGCGGAGUGAAAACUGGGCGUCUGUCUGUCCUGACACAGCUCUGUCCACUGUGCUUGUGUUGAUAAUAAAUGUCAUUAGUGGUCAGAUGAACGAGCCUGCUGUCUUUUUUGUGCAGUUUGUGUUAGCUGUGUCCUGCUCUGGCCCUUAUAGAGUCAGGAGACUCAUCUCCCUGCAGUCUGGAGCAGAGAGCUUUAAAGGAGCCCCAGUCUCACUGUGAUCUGUGUCAGUGUUACAGAUGGCUGAUGAGUACCCGACUAAAGCAUAACAUCAGCAUCCCAACUCUGGAAACUGAAAACCUAACAGUUCCAAAUCCAAAAUUCUAACCACAAUGUUUAUAGCUAUCGUGUUUUUUCGGUUGAUGUUGCACCCGUUGCCUGCAAGUGAGGCUACACCCCGCCACAAUCCUGGUGUUGGUGACGCGUUCGCUCCUGUAACCACGCCCCUUUCAGGCUACUCGACUUCAAGUCCCGGAAUGCUUUGCGAAACCAGGGCGCCUGUUUAUGACGUCAUUAUCUCGCCUGGCUGAUUCUUCUUGUCUUUGUUUUUCAACAUGCGACGCGGAGAGAGGAAGGCUCAAUCUGUUGCUACGUAGGUAUGACUUUCAUGCUGGUUUUUUUUUCAUAGAAAAAACGCAGAAAAAUUAUGAUUUGGGGCUGAAACAUGAGAG
RNAcentral lists this long non-coding RNA (1398 nucleotides) under Lepisosteus oculatus (spotted gar). Its description in RNAcentral is "lncRNA (ENSLOCG00000022592.1)". The record is from RNAcentral. Lineage: Eukaryota; Metazoa; Chordata; Actinopteri; Semionotiformes; Lepisosteidae.